RNAcentral lists this ribosomal RNA (1538 nucleotides) under Salmonella enterica subsp. enterica serovar Senftenberg. RNAcentral's name for it is "16S ribosomal RNA". It matches the Rfam family "Bacterial small subunit ribosomal RNA". The record is from RNAcentral. RNAcentral also lists the same sequence under 1 other name. Lineage: Bacteria; Pseudomonadati; Pseudomonadota; Gammaproteobacteria; Enterobacterales; Enterobacteriaceae.
UUGAAGAGUUUGAUCAUGGCUCAGAUUGAACGCUGGCGGCAGGCCUAACACAUGCAAGUCGAACGGUAACAGGAAGCAGCUUGCUGCUUUGCUGACGAGUGGCGGACGGGUGAGUAAUGUCUGGGAAACUGCCUGAUGGAGGGGGAUAACUACUGGAAACGGUGGCUAAUACCGCAUAACGUCGCAAGACCAAAGAGGGGGACCUUCGGGCCUCUUGCCAUCAGAUGUGCCCAGAUGGGAUUAGCUUGUUGGUGAGGUAACGGCUCACCAAGGCGACGAUCCCUAGCUGGUCUGAGAGGAUGACCAGCCACACUGGAACUGAGACACGGUCCAGACUCCUACGGGAGGCAGCAGUGGGGAAUAUUGCACAAUGGGCGCAAGCCUGAUGCAGCCAUGCCGCGUGUAUGAAGAAGGCCUUCGGGUUGUAAAGUACUUUCAGCGGGGAGGAAGGUGUUGUGGUUAAUAACCACAGCAAUUGACGUUACCCGCAGAAGAAGCACCGGCUAACUCCGUGCCAGCAGCCGCGGUAAUACGGAGGGUGCAAGCGUUAAUCGGAAUUACUGGGCGUAAAGCGCACGCAGGCGGUCUGUCAAGUCGGAUGUGAAAUCCCCGGGCUCAACCUGGGAACUGCAUUCGAAACUGGCAGGCUUGAGUCUUGUAGAGGGGGGUAGAAUUCCAGGUGUAGCGGUGAAAUGCGUAGAGAUCUGGAGGAAUACCGGUGGCGAAGGCGGCCCCCUGGACAAAGACUGACGCUCAGGUGCGAAAGCGUGGGGAGCAAACAGGAUUAGAUACCCUGGUAGUCCACGCCGUAAACGAUGUCUACUUGGAGGUUGUGCCCUUGAGGCGUGGCUUCCGGAGCUAACGCGUUAAGUAGACCGCCUGGGGAGUACGGCCGCAAGGUUAAAACUCAAAUGAAUUGACGGGGGCCCGCACAAGCGGUGGAGCAUGUGGUUUAAUUCGAUGCAACGCGAAGAACCUUACCUGGUCUUGACAUCCACGGAAGAAUUCAGAGAUGGAUUUGUGCCUUCGGGAACCGUGAGACAGGUGCUGCAUGGCUGUCGUCAGCUCGUGUUGUGAAAUGUUGGGUUAAGUCCCGCAACGAGCGCAACCCUUAUCCUUUGUUGCCAGCGGUCCGGCCGGGAACUCAAAGGAGACUGCCAGUGAUAAACUGGAGGAAGGUGGGGAUGACGUCAAGUCAUCAUGGCCCUUACGACCAGGGCUACACACGUGCUACAAUGGCGCAUACAAAGAGAAGCGACCUCGCGAGAGCAAGCGGACCUCAUAAAGUGCGUCGUAGUCCGGAUUGGAGUCUGCAACUCGACUCCAUGAAGUCGGAAUCGCUAGUAAUCGUGGAUCAGAAUGCCACGGUGAAUACGUUCCCGGGCCUUGUACACACCGCCCGUCACACCAUGGGAGUGGGUUGCAAAAGAAGUAGGUAGCUUAACCUUCGGGAGGGCGCUUACCACUUUGUGAUUCAUGACUGGGGUGAAGUCGUAACAAGGUAACCGUAGGGGAACCUGCGGUUGGAUCACCUCCUU